CCUACGGGUGGCAGCAGUGGGGAAUAUUGCACAAUGGGGGAAACCCUGAUGCAGCGACGCCGCGUGAGUGAAGAAGUAUUUCGGUAUGUAAAGCUCUAUCAGCAGGGAAGAAAAAAGACGGUACCUGACUAAGAAGCCCCGGCUAACUACGUGCCAGCAGCCGCGGUAAUACGUAGGGGGCAAGCGUUAUCCGGAUUUACUGGGUGUAAAGGGAGCGUAGACGGUAUGGCAAGUCUGAAGUGAAAGCCCAGGCCUUAACCCGGGGACUGCUUUGGAAACUGUUAGACUAGAGUGCUGGAGAGGUAAGUGGAAUUCCUAGUGUAGCGGUGAAAUGCGUAGAUAUUAGGAGGAACACCAGUGGCGAAGGCGGCUUACUGGACAGUAACUGACGUUGAGGCUCGAAAGCGUGGGGAGCAAACAGGAUUAGAUACCCGAGUAGUC
RNAcentral lists this ribosomal RNA (441 nucleotides) under uncultured bacterium. RNAcentral describes it as "partial 16S ribosomal RNA". It matches the Rfam family "Bacterial small subunit ribosomal RNA", at positions 338 to 795 of the family's 1533-position model. The record is from RNAcentral.